CCAGAAUAUGAGCUUUUAAAACUAGUAAGAAGGUUUGUAUCAGUGUCACAAAACGAACAAUACUUUGGAAGGGGAAGGUCCACUGAAUGUUAACUGAAUAUGUCUCAUCAGCAGGUUAACUACAAAGGAGUCUGAGGGUCACCAUGAGUGUUCCUGACCAGUACCUAACCAACAACUGUGAGAAUGUAGGAAGUGACCAAAUUUGGCUGAAACGCCAAACUGCAUAUCCUGACUGGGCUUGCAUGAUAAGCAACCAGACUAUACAUCAUAUUGCAAGCAAGUUUAAAGUGAGAUAUUGUUUGCAUAAUGAAUAGCAUAUCAAUCAAAACAAAUGCCAAAGACUAGGAUGCAGUAAAAAUAAAAAAACAUGUUUCAUGAAAAGACCAGUACCAAAGAAGAUGAAGAAAAAGAUCGCAGAGAAAGGAUUCUGAGGAAGACUCUACAUCAGAAUUAAGUUGUACAUGUUCUCCUCUUAUUUAUGUUACGGAAGACUGGCAAAUUAAGGAUGCUCAUACCAAGUGGAACAAAUCAGUUAUUCUCACUGACCAGGAACUGUAUCCAGAAAGAGAGAGAGGCAUUGUGAAGAACCAUGCUAUGGUAGCAGUUGGAAGACAGAGGCAGCAUAGUUGAAAAAAUAAUCCCUAAACUACGAGGAGGAAGCAAUUGCCCGAGAAGAGACUCCAGAUGAGCCCCAGAACUAAAGCAGUCCUGUGGAUAUAA
Diceros bicornis minor is the source of this 720-nucleotide long non-coding RNA. RefSeq lists it as uncharacterized. NCBI's taxonomy places the organism in Eukaryota, Metazoa, Chordata, Mammalia, Perissodactyla, Rhinocerotidae. The record is from RefSeq and is a predicted model, not a curated record. The transcript has 3 exons.